CCUACGGGGGGCAGCAGUGGGGAAUAUUGCACAAUGGGGGAAACCCUGAUGCAGCGACGCCGCGUGAGCGAUGAAGUAUUUCGGUAUGUAAAGCUCUAUCAGCAGGGAAGAAAAUGACGGUACCUGACUAAGAAGCUCCGGCUAACUACGUGCCAGCAGCCGCGGUAAUACGUCGGGGGCAAGCGUUAUCCGGAUUUACUGGGAGUAAAGGGAGCGUAGACGGCGGUGCAAGCCAGAUGUGAAAGCCCGGGGCUCAACCCCGGGACUGCAUUUGGAACUGGGCAGCUAGAGUGGCGGAGAGGCAGGUGGAAUUCCAAGUGUAGCGGUGAAAUGCGUAGAUAUAAGGAGGAACACCAGUGGCGAAGGCGGCCUGCUGGACGAUGACUGACGUUGAUGCUCGAAAGCGUGGGGAGCAAACAGGAUUAGAUACCCGGGUAGUC
This 440-nucleotide ribosomal RNA is filed under the name uncultured bacterium. RNAcentral describes it as "partial 16S ribosomal RNA". It matches the Rfam family "Bacterial small subunit ribosomal RNA", at positions 338 to 795 of the family's 1533-position model. The record is from RNAcentral.